RNAcentral lists this long non-coding RNA (515 nucleotides) under Brassica rapa (field mustard). RNAcentral's name for it is "long non-coding RNA (BRAP_LNC000981)". The record is from RNAcentral. Lineage: Eukaryota; Viridiplantae; Streptophyta; Magnoliopsida; Brassicales; Brassicaceae.
CAGUUACAUCAAAAGUUUCGAGUAUUCCUCUUCUUGGUUGCAUCAUAGACUUUCUUGUUCAUCUAUGUACGUUUUCCAGUACAACCUUUUCUGACAAACAAGAGAAAAAAUUCAUUGAUGUGGCGGUCGAAGAAAAUCGUGCAGCUCAUAAGCACUUUAGGCAACACAAGUGUGCUAAACUCAAUUAGCCUUAAUAUUAAGUAUUUCUUACUAUAUAUAUGUAUAUGAAUAUAUAAGAUCUGAUGUGGUAAUAGUUGCCUUACAUAAAGAGUUUUUUCUAUGAUACAUUAAUAUGGUUCUACAUGAAUAAAUAUUAUUUUUCAGUUCAUACUAUGUGAAAUUUUCCAUUUGGAGCAAGAAAAGUUGUCAGCCUUUACCAGGAAUAUCCCAGCUAUGCCUCUACGAAUCGUAGCUCACACUGCUUCGUCGAAGAUCCGAUGGCAAGAAUGGAGCUGUACUUUAGUCCACAUGAGAACGGAGAAUAUACUACUUGUGAACCAUUGAUCAUAUGUCUA